RNAcentral lists this non-coding RNA (921 nucleotides) under Ecnomiohyla minera (Guatemala treefrog). RNAcentral's name for it is "partial 12S ribosomal RNA". It matches the Rfam family "Bacterial small subunit ribosomal RNA". The record is from RNAcentral. Lineage: Eukaryota; Metazoa; Chordata; Amphibia; Anura; Hylidae.
UGGUCCUAGCCUUGAAGUCAAUUCUUACUUAAUUUACACAUGCAAGUCUCCGCACCCCUGUGAGAACGCCCUCAUCUUCCUGACAGGAAUAGGGAGCUGGUAUCAGGCACAAUUUUUAGCCCAAGACACCUAGUUUGACCACACCCACAAGGGCAACCAGCAGUGAUUAACAUUGAGUAUAAGCGAUAGCUUGACUCAGUCAAAGAAAAUAGGGCCGGCAAAUCUGGUGCCAGCCGCCGCGGUUACACCACGAGGCCCAAAUUGAUUUUUUCGGCGUAAAGCGUGAUUAAAGCGCUAACAAAUUAUAGCUACACCAGAAUUAGGCCGUGACACGCUUAUUCCUGAGAAACCCGUAAACGAAAGUUGCUAUAAUUAUUAUAACUUGAACUCACGACCGCUGGGGAACAAACUGGGAUUAGAUACCCCACUAUGCCCAGCCGUAAACUUUAAAUUACAGCCAUAUCGCCAGGGAACUACGAGCCAAGCUUAAAACCCAAAGGACUUGACGGUACCCCACAUCCACCUAGAGGAGCCUGUCCUAUAAUCGAUAACCCCCGCUUAACCUCACCAUUUUUAGUCUAUCAGCCUGUAUACCUCCGUCGCCAGCUUACCUCGUGAGUGACCUCUAGUGAGCUCAAUGUUCUUACAUCAAUACGUCAGGUCAAGGUGCAGUAAAUGAAAUGGGAAGAGAUGGGCUACACUCUCUAUAUUAGAGAAUACGGAAAACUACUUAUGAAACUUAGUUAAAAGGCGGAUUUAGAAGUAAAAAGAGACCAUAAAGCUCCUUUUAACAGGGCACUGGGGUGUGUACACACCGCCCGUCACCCUCUUCAAGGCCAAAAAAUAGUACUUAACACAGAACAACUAAUUAGAAGAGGCAAGUCGUAACAUGGUAAGUAUACCGGAAGGUGUGCUUGGAAA